This is a long non-coding RNA of Myzus persicae (green peach aphid), 3025 nucleotides long. RefSeq lists it as uncharacterized. The transcript is spliced from 3 exons. The record is from RefSeq and is a predicted model, not a curated record. NCBI's taxonomy places the organism in Eukaryota, Metazoa, Arthropoda, Insecta, Hemiptera, Aphididae.
GCCGUGUGCUGAUGCAGUCGGUUAUUCACAUUAUUAUUGUUCGUAACACAUUACAGCGGUCUACACGAUGAUAAUACCUAUAUAAUAUUGUUUACAUAUAUUCUGUGCGAUCAGUGUAAUUGUAGUGUAUUGAUUAUUAUGAUCAAUGAACCGUAAAAAAUUAUGUGUGUGAUUUUGAAAUCAAAUAUUAUUUCGUUACAGUCAAUGGCCCCCAAUCGAGUACCAAUUUCUUCUGUGGGCCGAUAACAAAAGUUAUUAAAAACGUUUCAAAUACACACCAUCGUUUUAAUUACACAAUAUUUGCUGUCGAUAAGCGUUUUCGUUGUUUGUUCUGUACUUGCAAUUUAAAAUAUUAUUCAAACAUCAAAAGCGGGAACACAACAUGUAUAAUGUACCGCAUGACUGUAUAGUUGGACAAUUAAAAAGCAAUGAUGAACUCGGUCUGCUCGCUUGUUGAAAUUCACCGCACUAUAUGAGCAAAAUAUAUUUUGGAGUACUUACGGAGAUUAUAGUAAUCAAAUUUCGGACAAACAGUUCAUUUGUUACACGAUGGUAUUUAAUUAUAUGAACGGAGUAGUGGAAAAACAUUUUCCCAUUAGCAGUACACCCUCAUAAAAACUAGAAAUGCAUAUUACUUGUUUCGGCUCAGUUUGUGGUUUUAUUGAAAAAAAUGAGCCGAAACAUUGGUCCUAACGAACCGGAUCAGAACGUGAGCGUCAAUAGUGUUACACACAUUGUAGCCAAUUUGACUUACAAGUCCAUGGUAGAAGAUUAAGGAGCUGUGCAAUUCAAGGAUGAAGACAACUGACCAGAUGAGUGAGUCUAGCAAUUUAGCACCUAUUUAAGUGAAAACGGCUUUAUUUCCAUAAAUUAUAACUAUAAUCCUAUCCUUGUGUUAAAAUAAAAAUUGUUGGGAAAUAUAUUUAAGUCUACAUUCACCAUAUCAUUUUAUCAAUAAAAACGUUAGAUAGUGGGUAAAGGUCGAUCAUAAUGCCUGAUGAAAAUAACGAAUUGGCCUCAUUCGUUCUACGUCGUGGACAGGUAAAAGCGCAGCUCACUCGUUUCCAGACAUUUCUGAAUGAGCCAAAAUCCAAUGUUACAACGCAAUUAAGAUUAAGAGCCGAGAAAAUUCGUGAAGCAUGGAGCGAAUUCAAUGCAAUUCAAAACAAUAUCGACAUGUUAGACGUUAGAAAUAAUGAUCAAUUACAAUAUAGGUCUGCAUUUGAAGAUCUGUAUUUCGAUUUAAUGACACAAGUCGACAUUAGAUUGACGGGAAAUAACGCAAUCGCGGAAGGUCGACACUGUAUACAGGGCGAUCAAAGUGAAGUCACAAAAAAUGCCGCAGACCCAAUUAUCCGGGAAAUAUUGACGUUCUUAUCGGAGGUAAUACUUAUUGGGACAUAAUGUGUGAUGAGAAGUUAAAAACCAAAGACGGUCCGUAUUUGCAAAAAACGUUAUUCGGAUAUGAAGUCGUAGGAAAAACUUUGACAAAAUGAAGUACGAGAAAAUUAAAUUCGUGUUUGAUAACAACUCAAAAUCAAUACCAAUUGUGGUAUAACAAAAUAGAGUUAUUUUGGAAAAUGGAAGAACCAUCGUCGAAGCAUAAUUUCACUGACGAAGAAAGGUCGUAUAUAACACAUUUUAACGAAAACCUCGCUCAAAAUGAGGACGGUAGAUUUAUAGUUGAACUACCAUUCAAAGAAAGUUGUCAUCAGCUGGGUAACUCAUACACCUCAGCUCUCCGAAGAUUUCUAUCUGCAGAAAUAGGUUAACAAAGAAUCCCGAACUAUACAUGAAGUAUAAAAUGUUUAUGAGAGAGUACGAAAGUCUCAAAUUCUCAAUCAUAUAGAAUGUGUUUAUGAUACCGGCGGCGAUAAGCAGUUAAUCGAUCACACGAAAUGUUUUUAUCAACCGCACUCGUAUGUAAUUAACGACCGUGGUUGAACGACAAAGUUACGCGUCGUUUGUGAUGGGUCGGCAAAAACUAAUAGUGGUGUGUCAUUAAAUGACAUACUAAUGAACGGACCAAAAAUACAAACAGACCUAUUAGAUAUCGUGGUAAGGUUAAGAACACAUAAAUAUGCAUUUCGGAGGACAUAAAAAAAAUUUAUCGUCAGGUGUUAGUUCACAAAGACCAUCGUAACUCUCAGCGUGGAUUAUGGAGAUCAGAUCCAAAUGAAUAAUUAUGAAGUAAAAGUAUAUAGACUAUAUUAUGUACUGUUACUUACGGUUUGGUGUCGGCAGGUUUUUUGGCAAUAAGUUGCGUCAAUCGCACCGGCGAUAAGACCACUAACACGAAGUUAAAAGAAAUAAUAAAAAAUUAUUUCUGUGUCGACGAUUGCCUCACCGGGGCAGAUUCAUUGAUGGAAGCAAUUGAAUUGUGUGACGAAUUAAUUUCAAUUAUGCGAGGUGGUGGAUUAGAAUUAUCAAAAUGGACUAUGAACCAUACGGAUUUAUCCCCGAAUCAAAACAAAGAUAAAUUAACGACCAUACAUACCAUUGGAUAGAGAAAGCGUGAAAACUCUAAGUUUAUACUGGGAACCGAAAAGUGUUUACUACACGUAUGUGUCGUACAAGUACCGAAAGUAAAAACUGAAACAACAAAAAGACAUAUUCUUGCCGGCCUAGCACGGAUAUUAAUACCGAACAACGAUUUCCAAUUAUGUUACCUAAAGAAACGAAUUUUGUAAAAUUAAUUAUGCUAUACAUGAACAUAAAAAAUUAAUGCAUGCCGGACCACAUGCUACGCUCGCAUCAGAACGUCUGAAAUACUGGCCAAUCAAUGGGUGGAGGUGGGCAAGAAAGGUAAUACAUCAGUGCGUUACAUGUUUCAAAGCUCAGCCAAAAAAUGUGUCGCUUGCUAUGGGUAAUCUGCCCGCGCUCCGAGCCCACCGUUCAGUAGGUGCUUUGAAAACUAUAGUGAUGUGGAUUACGCAAGUCCAUUCAUGUUAAAAUGCAGUAACAGACGAAAAGCAGAAAGGCAUACAUAUGCGUAUUUGUGUGUUUUGCAACAAAGGCGGUGCAU